Molecule: ribosomal RNA, 253 nt
Filed under: uncultured bacterium
Lineage: Bacteria
Description: partial 16S ribosomal RNA
Rfam family: Bacterial small subunit ribosomal RNA
Source: RNAcentral
UACGUAGGGGGCGAGCGUUGUCCGGAAUCAUUGGGCGUAAAGCGCGUGUAGGCGGCCCGGUAAGUCCGCUGUGAAAGUCCAGGGCUCAACCCUGGGAUGCCGGUGGAUACUGUCGGGCUCGAGUCCGGAAGAGGCGAGUGGAAUUCUAGGUGUAGCGGUGAAAUGCGUAGAUAUCUGGAGGAAUACCGGUGGCGAAGGCGGCAUCCUGGACCGACAUUGACGCUGAGGAGCGAAAGCUAGGGGAGCAAACGGG